RNAcentral lists this transfer RNA (69 nucleotides) under Lutjanus johnii (John's snapper). RNAcentral's name for it is "tRNA-Pro". It matches the Rfam family "tRNA". Rfam says of the family: Transfer RNA (tRNA) molecules are approximately 80 nucleotides in length. Lineage: Eukaryota; Metazoa; Chordata; Actinopteri; Lutjaniformes; Lutjanidae. The record is from RNAcentral.
CAAAGAGUAGUUAAACUUAGAAUACUAGCUUUGGGAGCUAGUGGUGAGGGUUAGAGUCCCUUCUCUUUG